CGUGUUUCGGGGUUAACUGCUUUGAAACAGCUGCUGCUGACCUCGAGGCCCUGCGAGAAGGCCGGUGGCCACCGCUUUCGUCCCGCGGGCCCUGCAAGAUCCGUCUCGCUCGCUUUUUGGCAUCUUCUGGAAAACUUGGGCUGUCCAACAGGUUUGGCUACAAGUGAGAGAUUGACUUGCCUGGAAACUACAUGUGUGAGGUGGACAAGAUGAAAGAAAGUCAUUUUGAAUUGUCAGUAUUAGAGCAACUUGUCUGAUACGUCCGAGAGAGGGAGGGAUGGGCCAAGAAGGCAGAAAGAUCUGAGGACAUUCAUAUAUGUGUGUGUAUGUAUAUAUCUGUAUGUAUAUAGAAAGAGUUCAUUUUUUAUUUAUAUGGGGGCAGGCUUUUGAGGUGUGUUCUGGAGGCAGACUGACUGGAUUGUGACUAGCCUAUGCCUGUGGUGUUCUUAAGCAGGCAGACCUCUGGAAAGGUGAAGCUUGCAGAACAGGAACCCUAAUAACAAGCUCUGGAGCAGUAAGUGCCAGAUCAAUAGUCAUGUCUACUGAAGAGGGUACAAACCACAUCAAGGAGAAAAAACAACCCCCAGCCCUACAAAACAACCACUCACUCCUGUAGCCUUCUGCCUUCAAUGGCACCAUACACUGUCUUUAACAACAUGAUUCAUCUUCGUCUUGGGAACAAAACCAAACUUCUGCCAUUCUUUUGAAAUUUUUAGCAAAGGGACUAACUGUGGUAGUCAUCUUUUUUUAAAGGUGAAGAUGUGACGGCUAUCUUGCACUUUCCAAUUAGGAUGUAAAGCAGAAAAUACAAAAAUUCAUUACAUAUUUUUCGGUUGCUACCUUCUUGACAACAGAAGGAUUUUAAUUGCAUAAAGGCAUCUUCCUGGUUUUGGAAUCAUCUCUUUGGAAAUUUGUUCCUUCUGCAGUUGCUUCUGCCUUUCUCUUUUUCUCAGAGGAAGUGCAGUCUUUUAAGGCCUCAGAAGCCUGAAGCAAGUCAGGCAAGUUUAUUCUAACAACUCUGUCAGUGUUCAAGGCUUCGUACAAAGUUGGGAGGAAGUUACAGAAUUUUCAUAUGUGAAGCACAGUUCUUUGGUGUGCAGUUAAUACAGAUCUCUAUGUAGUUAAUCAGGUUUGGAGAAGCUUCCUCAUCCCCUAGACAUUCCCCAUUGCCUCAAGAAAUCCAGCAGGUAAGGAGCUGAGAGCAGUAUCAGCUGCUCUCUCAGGGAGCGGGUCACUGUGCAAGAAGUGCUGGGAGAGCGAUGCCAAAACGUACAAUGUCCCAAACAAAGAAGUAACAUGAAGGGCAAUGUACUGCCAGCAGCUGGUUCAGCUCUUAGGAAUUUUAGUCAGCCUGCAGGUUCCCCUUGAUUAUGGUGGCAUCUCAGAACGAUGAGAAGUUGCAGGGAAAUACAGUGGCCAGAAAGAGCAAAGAAGUGCAUAAGCUGAAGCAGAGCUGUAUUUGCUGAAGUCUUCAGCAAAUUUCAAGAAAAAUCCUCAGUUUGUAGACAGGCUUGUGUUAUUUGGAUUUGGGAAUGGCGAUAGGUAGAGAAUUGAAAGCGAUUCCCUUGAGGAGGCCAGGAAAAAUGCAAGGUGCUUUUAAGCCCAGAAGAGCAACACAAUAUUUCGGCUGUUUCUGAAUUUCAGCGUUUACCCACUCGUGGCUGUCUCCCAUUGUUUCAUUUUCAUUGCCGUUUCCUUGUGCCUCCUCUUGAGGCCUAUCAGGCUGUAACAUCACACUCUGAAACAAUUUCCUUAGCAUAAGCCAGGCCUGUUUUUGCCAUGACUUGCACAAACAAGCUAUAUAAUAAGAGAGCUGGCAAAAACAAGAGUUGAGAUACAUGAUGUAGUAGCCAGGUUGCUUACUUGCUUCCUCACCCUCCUCUUAAAAGCCCAAAAAAACACUUCCCAGAGGCUCUUAACUAAUAGGGACAUGAAGGUCUGAAUUAGCAUUCCAAUCUUUUUAUUAAACCAGCUCACAGCAGAAAAAUAAACCUGACCUGCUUACCACAGAAUAAGGCUUUGAGUUUGUGUUAUGCAUGUGUAAUUCAAGCUGACAAGAACUGUUGCUAAGAGGAAGGAGAAGGCAAAUUCUGGAUUUUGACUUGCAAUGGCAGUGAUGCCCCUCAUGCUCCCUAGUAUUGGAUGAGAAAAUCCGUGGGGCUGACUGUUAAUUGGUAGAGCUCAUUCAGGGAUUAAAAAACAGGAGCUGUCCUCAAGUUACUUUUGCCUUCUUAUACACUGUUCAAAGUAUAUUUCCCUUCAGAAAUAUACCUAUAUGAAUAAAAAUAAAAAUCAUUGUAAAUAGCAAUUAAAGUAAUGAGGAAAUUACCUGUUAGCACCCUCUGAGCUUAAAGACCUAUUGGAAAAUGGCUAUUUUGGAAUAGACUAUAUGCUAUAUUCAAAAAGAAAAGAUCAAAUAAUUGGAUCAAAUACUUGGAUCUUGUGGAUUAUGUGCUUCUGAACAUAUGAUUUUGGUAAUCGUAUUCUUAAGACUGAUUUGCUUUCAUCUUCAUCUGCAGUAAUUUUCACCUAGUUAGAAAACAUGGUUUUUACUAGAGAUUAUGCAACAUGUGCAGGCAACUGAGGAACAACUAUUCUGUCUUAAUGAGGUCAAAAGCUCUUGCCUGGAAGAUACUUUCUAACUGUGCACUCAGUCACGUAUUCAAAGCAGAAAAUUAUAGGAUGGCAACUUAAGCUUAACAUCUUUCAUUACUGGCUGUGCCAGUCAAUCAUGUGUCUUUUUUUUUUUUUUUGGCGUAUCAAGUUAUAUUUCUGCAUAUCGUUGUCUAAACUGUGUUUUAUCUUUCCACACAGUUUCUUUCCCAUGUAUCUGAGGGACACAGUCAACUCACAUUUACCAUUAAGUUUGGAUUCUAAGUCAGAAAUCUUGCUAUUCAGUUUAAAAGCCUGAAGAAUUAGUAAACAAUCUCUACAGUCUUUUAACUCAAAUACUCUCUAGCAGAGGAAGCCUGAAAUUGUUGCUGUUUAAGUAAAAGCGAUUUUGGUAGUUUUAUUAUCUAAACAAAGAAAUACGGGGCGUGAACCAGUGACAUGAAGAAUAAACUGGAUGUAGAGUCAGGUGCAUAAACGUAACAUGAAUUAAGAAAUCCAUUAGGUUACUUUAUGUGAUUCUGGAGUUAUCACUUCACUAUAUAGCAGGACAGAGGCCUCAACCCAAACAUAAAUUUCUACAUGCUACACAUACCAUCUUUCUCAGGUUUUACGGUUUAGAGAUCAGUUUAAUUCUUUGCCUCCCAGCAGAGAAUACUACUUGCUUAUCAACAGUAGUAGCUGUGCGUGAUAUGGGCGUGCACUUACUAGAACACAAAUAUUUCCAUUGAACCAGGGAAAAGACACUGAAAUGUAACAGCUUCUGGUCACUACAAGAUACAGUUCACUGCCUCAGUGGUAUACUGUUUUAACACAUUACUUAUCUCUGCUUCAUUCAGACCCAUUCCUGAAGUUUUAUGGCUGAAUUUGCCAAGUAAGUGGCAGUUCUAGGACUAAAGAAAGGGAUAAAGAGUAGUUACAAGUUGAAUAUAUUCCCGUAUUUAAAUAAAUCAAUGAAUCUUUUUCAAUACCUUACUGGUAUUUUAACAACAGGUAGACUUCGAGUUUGUUUCAUAGUUACUGAGCAAAAAAAAAUUAACUUGGGGGAGAGGAAGGAGGAGAAAUAAGGAAAAAAAAAAAGAAAUACUUGCUGAGUUUGAAAAAGUUGUAGCUAAAAAGUUUGCUUUGAAAACAAAUCAAAAUUUCACUGAUGUCACGCAACUGAAUAGCAGCAUGCUUAGUGUAAAAAUUUCAAUUCCUUGCUCUAAAGAAGAAACCUCAGCAUUUCAAGACUUUGAUUGAGACAUUAAGGUGUAGACAGAUAAAUAGUGGUUAUUCUGAUGAAAUAAAUAAAAAAAGGCAAAGAAGUGAAAGCUUUUUUGAUUUACUGGAAGUCGGUUGAGUUAAUCCCACAUUACAUGGAACAGGGAUCCCAUAGUUAUACAACUAGAAAAACAGAGGCACAGGAGAUGAGCAGACAACCACUUUAUUGUAAAAGUGAGUCAGACUGCAGUGGCUGCUCAGAUGAAGAGGACUGCAAUGUCCAGAGAGUGGAUAUAGCCCUUAAAAGCAAGUAGUUCCAGACCCACUGGUCUCCGCAAUACAGUAUCUGAAGGAACUUUCUACAUGUUACCAGUGCAUCUCUACAUACCAUCCAAUUACCCCCUUCUGCCCUACAGUUCUAUUUCAGUAACUUUAAUGUUCUGAACAGAAAAUUAAUGUUGUGGUGACUUACACUAAGCCAGUUACAGUUUCCUGUGUUACAUCAGUUGACUUGUGAAUACUAAAAUACUGUUUAAUAUGCAUAUGCUUUGCAAGCAUUUAGAAACAACCUGACUUAACAUAGAAAGACCUAUGUAAAACCUAAGAAAUAGGAAAAACAGGAGAGUGUAAGUGGAGAAAGGUUUCACAGUAAGAGACAGGAAAGGACUUUCCACAAAAAGGUCAGGUUAGAAUUAGCACGAUGGCAAAGUAACAAAUUUGGUAUGUGUGCUACCUAGGUAAAGAUGAAAAUAGAUUGUUAUUAUUGAGUAAGUAAAGAGAAGGACUAUAGAGUCCAGAGAUGGCAUUAGUCUUCCAAUGAAUUCAUUUUCAGGCUGAAAUUUCUAUUCAGAAAUUUAAUUAAAGUCAAUGCAUCUAUUAACAAGUCUUAAAAACAAGCGAUAGAAAAAAGGUCAUAUGUGCUUGAGUUCUGCUGAGCUUAUAAUCGUUAGCUUUGUAAGGAGAACUUAUGUUUUCCUUAUACAUUUCUUGUAUUUACUACAGUAAAGAGUAAAAGUAUUAAAUAUUGGGUUUUUAAAAUUCAUUUCCUUUUAGGAAAACUAUGAAGGAUUGAGCAUGAGUGGUCAAUUAUACAAGUAUUUGUUUAAUAAAUUUUAUGUAAUUUUGUAUUAAAAUUUGCUUGUGGUCUAGCUUGCUUUAAAAAGUUUCCAGAAACACCAAGGAAAAUGGCUGAAUGAAAGAGUUGAUUCUUUCUCCCCAUGUCAAAUUAGUAAGCCAGAAUCCGCUGUUACCAUUAGCAAAGUGCAAGAGAGAUCAGUUUAUCACUUUUGAAGCAUUAUGCCAUUUCAUAAUUAUCAAGAAACCAUCUACAGAAGUGAGAUGUAGACAUGGCUUGUCCCUCUUUCAAAGUACAGCGCUUCCAGCUCGCCCAAAAUUCCAGGCUAGCACAAGAACCACAUACAACGUUGUUUGACUCUCAUAGGGAGAAACAACAGCACGGAUCCUCACAGAAGACAGUUCUGAUAGCCGUCUCUCCUGUAGGGGCCACAGUGCCCAGCUGCACUGUUAUCUCCUGCAGUGUGUAGCUGAAAGUGCGGCUCACAUAAAGGAGCUGAGUGAAUGAUGGCAUAACUGUAUUGUCUGUGAGGCAUCAUACCGUUACUUCCCGCUCAGUGUCUUGGUUUCCAACUAAAAGCCUUGAGUUGUCAGUUCUUCUCUGUCCCCAGGCAGAAACUCUGUCAGCUUUUACUCAAAUAAGUAAUUUUGCAUAAAGAUUUUCAGCUGGAAACACUUAUUGUAGAUCAAAACCUUGAUUUUUCCAACUAGAUGAAUACAGGCCAUGGUCCAACAAAACUUAGGAAGUCCAAGUACAGCAUGCCCCGUCUGCACCCCUGAGCAAUCCAUCUUUUUCUGCUUUAAGAGAGUAUUCUAAGUUGUCACUUACAUUGGACUAAUCCUGCACAUGUUGCAUAAGAGAUCAAAAUUAAUGCCUCAUUUUUAUUUACUUUUUUAGGAACUAUCCCUUAAAUUGCUCAGUCAGAGACUUCUGAAGUAACAUUUUAGUCCUUAUUUUUAUGUGCAUUGUGGAGUUACGGCCCCUAUUGGAAUCGUUUACAGUUAACAUACAAAAGAGGCAAAUGCCAGAAAAAAUGACAGAGGAACUGCUAUUCAGAAGGUGAGGCAGCAGAACAAAACUCAUCAGGCACAUGGCAAAAGAUUAAACUGUGCAAAUUGCUUCAGGUAGCUAUUUUAUAGUGUGCAUACUAUAUGCCGUUACACAAGUAUGAAGUGUAACGUAGUAGCGUAGUAACGUAUGUAGUUCAUUCAAUCUAUGAACUAGAUUGAAUCAAGUUUGAACAGGGAGGGCCUCUAUUGCGUCUGAUUGGACAAUGCCUGCACUUCCUUGCUUUUAGUUUGCAAAGAAACAAAUGACCCAGAGGCCUCUUUGCAGAGAAGGACAAUUGCUUCCCCUCUGCCGCCUCCUGCUACCACCAGCCAGUGCAACGCUUCGCUUCCCUGUCGUACCACAGAGGCCGAGGUUAUGGGCUUGUGCAAGGGUCCUUCCGCAUCACCCAGAGCAGAGUUGUUGCUGGGCAUCCCCUUUACUGUCAGUGAAGAGUAAUCAUGGCUCUAGAAGAGUUGUGGGUCAUCACCCCUCUCUGACAACCGCUCCAGCCUUUUCUCCGUAUCUGUCAGGGUUAAUUCUGCCAGCAGUGUUAAUUCAGCUCUUGCAUCUCUGAGCUGACGUUUAGCAGGAUGAAAAAAGUAGUUGUCCAGUUUUAUUUAAAAGUAAGCAAAUAAGUGUCAUUGACCUAUAACACAGAAGUCAAAUUUAGACCAAAAAGUAGACAUUUGGAUAACAUAACAUUUAAAUUACAACAUACGGGUCUCAGAUCCUAAAUACUGCUCAGGGCUGUAUGCUUUACUAGACAGUCUGCUUAAACUGUAGAAGGAAUAAUUUUAUUUUUCACGGAGAAGCAUAGAGGAAUGAACAUCUUGAGUGGUGCAGGAAGGAAAUAAAGUGUUUCAGAUGCUUCCUUAAGCUGAUUAUAGUGCUCUCUGCAGAUACAUUUACUUAACUUUCUCAGUAACAUUCUCCUCCUUCCCUGCCAACAGAUACUUAUUUUUGUUUGCUUCAGCCAUCCCAGCCUGAGCAUAGUCCUGUGUCUGUGAAUGCUGGUAGCCAUUGAUAAUGUUCCAUGAGGCUGUUUCAAGAAAGAAGCUUUUUAAAUGGAAAGUGCCUCAUAAGCAGACACAAAAUUGUUGUAACAAUAUUUUAACAAAGCAACUGGCAGUGACUUUCUCUUCUAUUUUUUAAGAAGUGCACAGACCAUUAUUGUCUGCGCCAGUGACUCAGCUUGUAAAUGAAGGAAGCAUGGGAGUUGGGAGGAGUGAGGAAAGAUCCUAUUCUAUUUGUUUUGUCAAGCAAUAUCUCCUGCCCAUUGAUGUUAACGUGAAAACAAACAUACUCAGGGAGGACACCAGAAGAUUUUAUAUUCUAAGGCGAUUACACUUUUAUAAAAAGGCAAAAUUCAAAACAAAUGGUUUGAAAUGAGACCUGCAUCACCACUCUGAAAGUUUUAAGUGUAGUCCUGUAAAGAAGCACUUUUUUAAUAAUUAAAGAGUCAGAUAUAAGUAAUUGAUGCAUAACACACAGUGAGCUGAAAACGUACAGCACCUUCUAAAACAAGGGAACCGGGUAGCACAAAAAGCAAAAAAAAACCCAGCCAACGAACCAAACAAAAAAAGCUUUUCUCUUUUUUCUCUUUAGCACUACUAUAGCACUUUUUUUUAAUUAUUCAAAGCACUUUGCACAUAUUGCCUAAUCAAAUUUAUCUUGUGAUAUCUAUGAUUACCUAUUAGCAAGACUUUCUAAAGUAGUGGAGGUAGGGAAUAAUAUUUGAAGUCAUAAAUAAUUAUGCUUUAUUAAAAACAAAUUUAAAUAAAUAAGCCAGUCUUCAUGCUUACCAAGGAAGCUGGGUUGUAAAAACAGUACCGGCAAAGAACCAUGCCAGAAUUGCUAAUUAUUUUUUUUUAUAUUAAGUUUUACAUGCAAGGAAUAAGGGAAGAAUAUGAGGGACAAAAUGAUGUAAGCACGGACUGAUUUUUUUGCUUUGUCUAUUAUGUUUUG
Molecule: non-coding RNA, 7903 nt
Organism: Struthio camelus australis
Lineage: Eukaryota; Metazoa; Chordata; Aves; Struthioniformes; Struthionidae
Source: RefSeq, a predicted model, not a curated record